UUGCUUCUUCUUCCUUGCUCCUCCCUCCACUACUGCCACACCGUUCCGAGUUCCCGACGACGAGCGAGUAUGAGAUGAGGUGACGAGAGGUCGAGAUAUAUGUGUAUAUAUAUGAGUGAGAAGGACCACGCUGGAGAAGCAGGGCACGUGCAUGCACAUACGCCAUUCUCGAUCUCUCCUCUCCACCACUACUGCAUCUAGCUAUCUCCAUGGAUGGAUGUACGUAGCUCGGACUGGAUCGAUCGGAGAAGCAAUAAGCUAGCGAGCUCAUGCAUGCUGGCUGUGCACGCACGUGGUCUCCUUCUCCAUCACGGUUCUUUCUCACUUCGCUGCCACAGCAUGGCCCGUCGCGCGAUCAUCGUCACAAGCUAGCUAUUGGUACGGUGGUGGGUUCAGUGACCCCUACCCCUGCCGGCCGGUGCGUACCCGGCCUACCCGUCGCCGCCGUUCGACAUCGAUAUCGCAAGGUCCAAGGUAUGCUAGUUCGUGAUCACUGGCGAGCACUACGGCACUACCGAUCAUUUACUGUCAUUCAUGCUGUACCUGUACGUAGAGCUAGGCAUAUAUGUUCUAGUUCAUACUGUGUCCAAUGAAGAGUUGAAGACACUAUGCAUGAAAAAACAUGCAUCAUCUUC
This is a long non-coding RNA of Zea mays, 635 nucleotides long. RefSeq annotates it as MIR164dHG. The transcript has a single exon. The record is from RefSeq and is marked validated. Lineage: Eukaryota; Viridiplantae; Streptophyta; Magnoliopsida; Poales; Poaceae.